Stegodyphus dumicola is the source of this 385-nucleotide long non-coding RNA. The record is from RefSeq and is a predicted model, not a curated record. NCBI's taxonomy places the organism in Eukaryota, Metazoa, Arthropoda, Arachnida, Araneae, Eresidae.
CACCCACUGUUUUAUACUGAAGUCGUCUUUGUUCCGCCCAUUUUGAAGACCAUGCAUAUUCAACAACUAAGAAGCAUUUUUGCAUUCGAGUGCUAAACCAACAAAAUUUGGUGAAACAGAUUCUUUGGUCCUAAUAAGGAACAGUGCAGUGGAAAUGAGAAUCUACUCAAGCCGUCUGGUUUAUCGUUCUACAUCGCCUAAUACCUGCCUAUAUGAAAAGGACUGUUAAGCAGGAUCAUAUAACAUUGUACCAAUGUAGCACAUUUUGUACGUUUUCCAUCGUAUAAGUUCAUUAAUGUGUCACAGUCUGACAAGUAUGUUCAUCUAUGUUGUUAAAUCUUAAGGAUAGAAAAAUACUGAUUAAAUUUUAUGUUUAAUUUUUCAA